Molecule: long non-coding RNA, 430 nt
Filed under: Homo sapiens (human)
Lineage: Eukaryota; Metazoa; Chordata; Mammalia; Primates; Hominidae
Description: non-protein coding lnc-UBE2N-5:1
Source: RNAcentral
UUGUGGAAGCAGAUCCACCUGGCAAGCUGUUCAUAGGUGGCCUUAAUACAGAACCUAAUGAAAAGGCUCUUUAAGCAGUAUUUGGGAAAUAUGGCCACAUAGCAGAAGUUCUUUUGAUGAAGGAUGGGAAAAUCAAGUCCAGAGACUUUGCAUUGAUUACUUUUGAGAGCCCUGCAGAUGCUAAGAAUGCUGCCAACGAUAUGAAGGGAAAGUCUUUGGAUGGAAAAGCAAUUCAAGUAGAGCAAGCCAACGAACCAUCUUUUGAAAGUGGUGUUAGGUGGAGACCACCAUCUCCUUCGAGAAACAGAGGCCCUCCAAGAUGUCUGAGAUGUGGAAGAAAAGGUAGUGGAGGAGCAAAAGGGCAUCCCUCAGGUGGAGGACACAUGGAUGAUGGCGGAUACACUCUUAAUGCCAACAUGAGUUCUUCUAG